GACGAACGCUGGCGGCGUGCCUAACACAUGCAAGUCGAACGGGGGGAACAUGAAGUAUUUCGGUACGGAAUGCGCCCCUAGUGGCGAACGGGUGAGUAACACGUGGGCAACCUGCCCCAGACUGGGGGAUAACAUUGUGAAAACAGUGCUAAUACCGCAUGACAGGGUUCCGGGCAUCCGGGACCCUUGAAAGGAGAAAUCCGGUCAGGGAUGGGCCCGCGUCCAAUUAGCUAGUUGGCGGGGUAACGGCCCACCAAGGCGACGAUUGGUAGCCGAACUGAGAGGUUGAUCGGCCACAUUGGGACUGAGACACGGCCCAGACUCCUACGGGAGGCAGUAGUGGGGAAUAUUGGGCAAUGGGCGAAAGCCUGACCCAGCGACGCCGCGUGAAGGAUGAAGGUCUUCGGAUUGUAAACUUCUUUGAUCAGGGAAGAAAGAAAUGACGGUACCUGAAAACAAGACCACGGCUAACUACGUG
Molecule: ribosomal RNA, 478 nt
Filed under: uncultured bacterium
Lineage: Bacteria
Description: bacterial SSU rRNA
Rfam family: Bacterial small subunit ribosomal RNA
Source: RNAcentral